CCAGCAUGGCAGUCACGCACGUAACACGUGCGAGUCAUAAUAUUCUUUUCUUUUCUUUGUUCUUCUUGGACUUAAAUAGUAAAAUUAAAAAAAAAGUAUUAACUACAUAUAUUUUUUUUAUAUACAAAAUAAUACGAACUCAGAGUCGCAGAGGUCUCAUGGAGCAGCCGAAGGGGCGUUCUCAUUUGUUGCCAAUUCAUCAUCCACGUAAGAAAAAGCUAAAAAGUUUAAAGGUGGGGGG
This 241-nucleotide long non-coding RNA is filed under the name Citrus sinensis (sweet orange). Its description in RNAcentral is "long non-coding RNA (CSIN_LNC002898)". The record is from RNAcentral. Lineage: Eukaryota; Viridiplantae; Streptophyta; Magnoliopsida; Sapindales; Rutaceae.